Molecule: ribosomal RNA, 367 nt
Filed under: uncultured Desulfobulbus sp.
Lineage: Bacteria; Pseudomonadati; Thermodesulfobacteriota; Desulfobulbia; Desulfobulbales; Desulfobulbaceae
Description: bacterial SSU rRNA
Rfam family: Bacterial small subunit ribosomal RNA
Source: RNAcentral
AUCUGGAAGAAUCUGGAGACAGGUGCUGCAUGGCGUGUCGUCAGCUCGUGUCGUGAGAUGUUGGGUUAAGUCCCGCAACGAGCGCAACCCUUGCCUUUAGUUGCCAGCAGUUCGGCUGGGCACUCUAAAGGGACUGCCGGUGUUAAACCGGAGGAAGGUGGGGAUGACGUCAAGUCCUCAUGGCCUUUAUGACCAGGGCUACACACGUACUACAAUGGCCGAUACAAAGGGCAGCGACACUGCGAGGUGAAGCCAAUCCCGUAAAAUCGGUCUCAGUCCGGAUUGGAGUCUGCAACUCGACUCCAUGAAGUUGGAAUCGCUAGUAAUCGUGGAUCAGCAUGCCACGGUGAAUACGUUCCCGGGCCUU